GAUGAACGCUGGCGGCGUGCCUAAUACAUGCAAGUCGAGCGAACAGACGAGAGUGCUUGCACUCUCUGACGUUAGCGGCGGACGGGUGAGUAACACGUGGGUAACCUACCUAUAAGACUGGGAUAACUUCGGGAAACCGGAGCUAAUACCGGAUAAUAUUUAGCUUCGCAUGAAGCAAUAGUGAAAGACGGUUCUGCUGUCACUUAUAGAUGGACCCGCGGUGUAUUAGCUAGUUGGUGAGGUAACGGCUCACCAAGGCAACGAUACAUAGCCGACCUGAGAGGGUGAUCGGCCACACUGGGACUGAGACACGGCCCAGACUCCUACGGGAGGCAGCAGUAGGGAAUCUUCCGCAAUGGACGGAAGUCUGACGGAGCAAUGCCGCGUGAGUGAAGAAGGUUUUCGGAUCGUAAAACUCUGUUGUAAGGGAAGAACAAGUACGUUAGUAACUGAACGUACCUUGACGGUACCUGACCAGAAAGCCACGGCUAACUACGUG
Molecule: ribosomal RNA, 499 nt
Filed under: uncultured bacterium
Lineage: Bacteria
Description: partial 16S ribosomal RNA
Rfam family: Bacterial small subunit ribosomal RNA
Source: RNAcentral